UUCCGGUUGAUCCUGCCGGACCCGACUGCUAUUUGGGUGAGAAUAAGCCAUGCGAGUCGAAUGGGAUACCUAAAAUUCCCAUGGCAAACUGCUCAGUAACACAUGAUCAACUUACCCUAUAGAGAAAAAUAACCUCGGGAAACUGAGGAUAAUAUUUCAUAGUUGAAUCGGCUUGGAAAAGUUUUUCAAUAAAAGGGAUAAGAAAAAUGGUUCUUAUCUGCUAUAGGAUAGGAUCGUGGACGAUUAUGGUUGUUGGUGAGAUAACGGCUCACCAAGCCGAUAAUCGAUAGGGGCCGUGAGAGCGGGAGCCCCGAGAUGGGUACUGAGACAACGACCCAGGCCUUACGAGGCGCAGCAGGCGCGGAACCUCCGCAAUACACGGAAGUGUGACGGGGUUACCCAAAGUGUUCAAUUCUGAACUGUGGUAGGUGAGUAAUGUUCCCUAUUAGAAAGGAGAGGGCAAGGCUGGUGCCAGCCGCCGCGGUAAAACCAGCUCUUCAAGUGGUCGGGAUAAUUAUUGGGCUUAAAGUGUCCGUAGCCGGUUUAGUAAGUUCCUGGUAAAAUCGGGUAGCUUAACUAUCCGUAUGCUAGGAAUACUGCUAUACUAGAGGGCGGGAGAGGUCUGAGGUACUACAGGGGUAGGGGUGAAAUCUUAUAAUCCUUGUAGGACCACCAGUGGCGAAGGCGUCAGACUGGAACGCGCCUGACGGUGAGGGACGAAAGCCAGGGGAGCGAACCGGAUUAGAUACCCGGGUAGUCCUGGCCGUAAACGAUGCAUACUAGGUGAUGGUACGGCCAUGAGCCGUAUCAGUGCCGUAGGGAAACCGUUAAGUGUGCCGCCUGGGAAGUACGGUCGCAAGGCUAAAACUUAAAGGAAUUGGCGGG
This 885-nucleotide ribosomal RNA is filed under the name uncultured archaeon. Its description in RNAcentral is "bacterial SSU rRNA". It matches the Rfam family "Archaeal small subunit ribosomal RNA", at positions 1 to 872 of the family's 1478-position model. The record is from RNAcentral.